GCCGCGCCCGGGCCCUGCGGGAGCUGGAACCGGGAACAGCCUCGGCCGCUGGUCGUGCCGGCCGGGAGCAGCAGCUCCGCACGGUGCGCCCGGUGCUGAUGAGACGUGACACACCGGGCAGGCGCUCCGGGCGGGGCGGGAAUGACGCCGGUGACACCAGCGCAGUGGCAGCGAGUCACGCUGGGUUCUUCUGGAGAAGCUUUUGGGUCUCACCACUGACCUUAUCCUCACCUUUCGAGAAAAAAUGUUGUGGACUAACUAGGAACACUACUAAAUGAUGAGUUAAAAUUCACUGUACAAGUAUUAACAUACAUUAGAGAUACUCAGAAGUGAUGAAGAGAUUCCCAGGAACGAUUUUUCAUUAAAGUGAGCAAUAUUUUAGCAACACAGAGAAGGAAACAUAAAAGCACUCCAAUUUGAACAGAGACAAAAUACAAGGACCUGGGAGCUGCCUUUAAAGAUCAUGAACAUGUGUAGUAAUUCAGCUGAGGGAAACUUCACUUAGAUUGCUAAUACCAGAGAUAGUUUGAGAAUGCUUUUAAAUGAAGAAAAAAGUGCAGUUUUUUUUCUUGUGCCAUCACCUGCUCUGUUGUUCCCUCCUCUGUGACCUUGGUGCAAUCUGUUAAACAGUAGAAAUACUUAAUGUGAGAAGUCCACAAUUUGUAAUAUGGACAAUGUUUGGAGUACAAGGAGCAAGUGGCAGAAGACCUCUUACUUUGAUGGCACUUCACUAGUAUCUUGCUGCAUCUGCUGAUCUCCGCAGUAUUUACCACCGGCAUGCUCAGUGAAACACCAAGUCGGCAUUUGUGCUUGGAUUAUAACAAAGCUUAAAGCCUUUUACUUACAGAAGGCAGAAAAGAAACACCUCAAGAUAUACUCAAAACAGAACCUCGUGGCCGACUCUGCCUGGAGCUACUCUGUCAGAGCAGUUGGAAUUGUUUUACGUAAUUGUAGUUCAUAUAAUUGUCAUUGUAAUUGACUACUGCCUCUUCUGCAGAGAAGAAAAACAUGAUGGCCGUUCAAAUAUCUAAAAUAAAAAAAACCCAGAAAAACUAUCAUUAUUCUUGGACUGCAACUGAGUUUGCAUCUCUACUACUUCUGAUAACAGCUCUUGGACGACACCAUGAAAACACUAUUUUACAACCCUUCUUACUUUGUUAUUUGGACUAUGUUUUAACCCUGUGGUUUAUGGUCAGCGAAACAAAGAGCUGCAAACCAAGCUAUUCAAGAGGCAAAGACUUGGUGCAAUUACUCACUACGUGGCAAACAUUAAUGACACAGCAGCUGUUUAGUUUGCUGCGUUAGGUGAGUGAUCUUACAUGUAAAAUUGUAACUAACUAACCUUCUAAAAAAUUAUGAUCAUCAGCACUGUAAAAUAAAGAAGAAAGUCUCCUGUACAAAGUGUUUUUAUGACACUGACUGGAACUUAAUGGAAGUUGAAGGCUUCACUCCUUUAACAAUUUUCAUAUCCUUGUUAUUAUGACCCUACUAUGAAGUUGGCUAUGAAACAAGAUCAAACAGAAGACAGAGUAUGACUUGGCUUGUGAGAAUGCUGCAGGUUUGCCAAAUGAAAUCUAAACCAGGAUUUAUUUUAAAAUAAAUGAAAAUCUACUUUCACUGGCAGUAAAAAUUAUGAUUAUAAAAAAUACAAUGGAAUCUAUCUGAGGUAACUAAUUGUUAGAUAGGGAAGUAACAGCAGUAAAGUAAGUUCCGCUUAACAGUCUUUCCAAAUGCAAAAUCAACUUGCAGAAUCAAGUUUCAGAAUAGUUUUUAGUAUCUGAAAAUAUAUACACUAUUUUUUCUUUACUCAUUACAUUUAGAACAAUUAAGUUUUAUUAAGAUUUUAGUGAACUGCCCUUUUUUGGCAAAUCUGUCCCUUUUACUGUUGAAUUCUGAAAUACCUCAAAAAAUAGGAAAACAAA
Molecule: long non-coding RNA, 1922 nt
Organism: Catharus ustulatus (Swainson's thrush)
Lineage: Eukaryota; Metazoa; Chordata; Aves; Passeriformes; Turdidae
Exons: 5
Source: RefSeq, a predicted model, not a curated record